Molecule: microRNA precursor, 90 nt
Organism: Rattus norvegicus (Norway rat)
Lineage: Eukaryota; Metazoa; Chordata; Mammalia; Rodentia; Muridae
Source: Ensembl
UAUCGUUUGCUACUUGAAGAGAGGUUAUCCUUUGUGUGUUUGCUUUACGCGAAAUGAAUAUGCAAGGGCAAGCUCUCUUCGAGGAGCAAA